Molecule: ribosomal RNA, 371 nt
Filed under: uncultured bacterium
Lineage: Bacteria
Description: bacterial SSU rRNA
Rfam family: Bacterial small subunit ribosomal RNA
Source: RNAcentral
GUAGGGACCGAGCGUUGUCCGGAAUCAUUGGGCGUAAAGAGCGUGUAGGCGGCCAAUUAAGUCCUGCGUGAAAUCUCGGGGCUCAACCCCGAGCGGUCGUGGGAAACUGGUUGGCUAGAGUGCGGGAGAGGAGAGUGGAAUUCCUGGUGUAGCGGUGAAAUGCGUAGAUAUUGGGAGGAACACCGGUGGCGAAGGCGGCUACCUGGACCGGUUCUGACGCUGAUGCGCGAAAGCGUGGGUAGCAAACAGGAUUAGAUACCCUGGUAGUCCACGCUGUAAACGAUGGGUGCUCGGUGUCGCGGGUAUCGACCCCUGCGGUGCCUUAGCUAACGCGUUAAGCACCCCGCCUGGGGAGUACGGUCGCAAGGCUG